Molecule: ribosomal RNA, 289 nt
Filed under: uncultured bacterium
Lineage: Bacteria
Description: partial 16S ribosomal RNA
Rfam family: Bacterial small subunit ribosomal RNA
Source: RNAcentral
AGAGUUUGAUCCUGGCUCAGGACGAACGCUGGCGGCGCGCCUAACACAUGCAAGUCGAACGGGGUUGAGAGGAGCUUGCUUUUCUUGACUUAGUGGCGAACGGGUGAGUAACGCGUGAGGAACCUGCCUCAAAGAGGGGGACAACAGUUGGAAACGACUGCUAAUACCGCAUAAGCCCACGGUUCUGCAUGGAACUGAGGGAAAAGGAGCAAUCCGCUUUGAGAUGGCCUCGCGUCCGAUUAGCUAGUUGGUGAGGUAACGGCCCACCAAGCCGACGAUCGGUAGCCGG